GACGGGAAGGGGGCGGGGCGCAAGCAAGGAAACUCGGGGAGUUUACCAGUACGCAGCUUCCACCUCAGGCUCUCCAGGUGCCGCUUCUGUAUCAACGAAAGGGCUCUGAAUGUGCAGUCUGCAGCAUGAAGCUCGCUGUCAGGCCUGGGCAGCUGUAGAAAACGUCAGCAGAACCGAGAACCGAGCUGGAGGAAAGCUUCCCAAGUCUGACACACACAUGUGCUGUGUUUGUGACCCCAGCCUGGUCCCGAGGCUGCCGUCCAGUGCCGUCACCCGACUGGCCCUGCAAGCACACAGGCCUGUUCACCUCCGACUGCUCGGGAUCCUGCGUCCGUGCGUCCGGCUGUCGGGCUGCUGGAGUGAGGGACUGAGAUGGAAGGACCACAGACUCACUCCAUGAGGCCCAUCGGCGGCAGCGGGGGCGGCAUCGUCACCGAGACACGCCUUGCCGAGUCCUGGCCCUGUGCCUCGCCGGUGCCGCUGGCCUGCCACGCGCCCCUCUGUGCCUUCCCUGUGCGCGGCCGCGGCCUCUGCGUGUGGAGCAGCUCGGACCCUGUGGGCCAGGUGCGCAGCCCCGGGGACCCAGAGAACCCUGAGUCCCUCUCCGACCCGUGACGCUGGGGCCAUCCACCCUCCGUGGGUUCCACUGACAGCCAAGGGGAGGAAGUGGACACACCCGGGGUGUUCUGUGAACUCGAUUUUCAUAAAGUGAGCUGUCCAGAGCCACCUCAUUAAAACAGUUCUUCAGAAAGAACAUGAGCUCUUGCUCAGAACCUAUUAUAGAUCCUACCACAGGCAGG
Molecule: long non-coding RNA, 800 nt
Organism: Artibeus jamaicensis (Jamaican fruit-eating bat)
Lineage: Eukaryota; Metazoa; Chordata; Mammalia; Chiroptera; Phyllostomidae
Exons: 4
Source: RefSeq, a predicted model, not a curated record